This 413-nucleotide ribosomal RNA is filed under the name uncultured bacterium. RNAcentral's name for it is "bacterial SSU rRNA". It matches the Rfam family "Bacterial small subunit ribosomal RNA", at positions 30 to 444 of the family's 1533-position model. The record is from RNAcentral.
AUUGAACGCUGGCGGCAUGCCUUACACAUGCAAGUCGAACGGCAGCACGGGAGCAAUCCUGGUGGCGAGUGGCGAACGGGUGAGUAAUAUAUCGGAACGUGCCCGGUCGUGGGGGAUAACGUAGCGAAAGCUACGCUAAUACCGCAUACGAUCUACGGAUGAAAGCGGGGGAUCGCAAGACCUCGCGCGAUUGGAGCGGCCGAUAUCAGAUUAGGUAGUUGGUGAGGUAAAGGCUCACCAAGCCGACGAUCUGUAGCUGGUCUGAGAGGACGACCAGCCACACUGGGACUGAGACACGGCCCAGACUCCUACGGGAGGCAGCAGUGGGGAAUUUUGGACAAUGGGCGCAAGCCUGAUCCGGCAAUGCCGCGUGCAGGAUGAAGGCCUCGGUUGUAACGUAGCUUUGUUACGGU